RNAcentral lists this transfer RNA (75 nucleotides) under Candidatus Wildermuthbacteria bacterium GWA2_46_15. RNAcentral describes it as "tRNA-Glu". It matches the Rfam family "tRNA". From Rfam's summary of the family: Transfer RNA (tRNA) molecules are approximately 80 nucleotides in length. The record is from RNAcentral. Lineage: Bacteria; Candidatus Wildermuthiibacteriota.
GGCCCUAUCGUCUAGUGGUCAGGACACCAGCUUUUCAAGCUGAGAACCGGGGUUCGACUCCCCGUAGGGCCGCUA